Molecule: long non-coding RNA, 772 nt
Filed under: Mytilus galloprovincialis (Mediterranean mussel)
Lineage: Eukaryota; Metazoa; Mollusca; Bivalvia; Mytilida; Mytilidae
Source: RNAcentral
AAACUUAUACUGUUACCAGGAACAUAUAUAUUGUUAGAUAAACUGUUCCCAGAUGUCACGUUGUAAUGGAUUUUGACAUUAAAAUUGGUGUACAAAAUAUUUUCUGCUUUUUCUUUCUUUUACAUAUAUCUGUUGGUUUUCAAUUCUAGUGUUUAUAUUUAUUUACCAUGCAUAGAUGUAUUUUGUCACCUGUCUGGAUUUUUUCAGUUGAUAUCCAAAACCCGGGAUUACCCUUAUCCGCUUCCGGAAUCGGAUCCGAUAUUGUAAUUGUCUUCUCGUGGCAGCCAUUUUUUUUCGAUGUUGUUUUUGACAGACAGUGAGAUACGAUUUUACUCGGAUUUACACAUUAUUUGUUGGCGAUUUUCUGUAUAAAGCUAGCGAUUGAACAAAUUGAACAUCGCUGCCAUGAAUAGUAAUGAUGAAAAUAAGUUUGAGAUCGUUUAUUAGGAAACUUUGGUAAAAAUGUUUGCAAAGUUAUUUUUUAUUUUCUUUCAAGGUCCGUCGGGCAUGUCGGGCGUAGCUAGUAACCAAGUAGUAAGUCCGACUGCAAAAGUGGAAGGUCGCAGACCUCGGACCACCGCUAAUUUGAAUCCCUGCGUCCAAAUUUAAAAGAUACGAAAAUAUCAACUUCUAAUUCAAAAUUGCCGCCAACAGCGUGAUCAGUUGAAAUAUAUUAAUAGACUACUGACGUAGAUGACUACGUAUUGAUGACAAACAAUAUUCAUACGACUUUUGCAAUUUGGGAAAUCUUAACUACUUGUCUUUAGAGAUU